RNAcentral lists this ribosomal RNA (343 nucleotides) under uncultured bacterium. RNAcentral describes it as "bacterial SSU rRNA". It matches the Rfam family "Bacterial small subunit ribosomal RNA", at positions 29 to 363 of the family's 1533-position model. The record is from RNAcentral.
AAUGAACGCUGGCGGCGCGCCUAAUACAUGCAAGUCGAGCGAGAAGACGUAGCAAUACGUUUGUAAAGCGGCGAACGGGUGAGGAAUACAUGGGUAACCUACCCUCGAGUGGGGAAUAACUAGCCGAAAGGUUAGCUAAUACCGCGUACGCUCCUUGGACUUCGGUUCAGGGAGGAAAGCGAUACCGUGGGUAUCGCGCUCUUGGUUGGGCUCAUGUCCUAUCAGCUUGUUGGUGAGGAACGGCUCACCAAGGCUUCGACGGGUAGCUGGUCUAAGAGGACGAUCAGCCACACUGGCACUGCGACACGGGCCAGACUCCUACGGGAGGCAGCAGUAAGGAAUA